Bombus terrestris (buff-tailed bumblebee) is the source of this 1835-nucleotide long non-coding RNA. RefSeq lists it as uncharacterized. The transcript has 3 exons. The record is from RefSeq and is a predicted model, not a curated record. NCBI's taxonomy places the organism in Eukaryota, Metazoa, Arthropoda, Insecta, Hymenoptera, Apidae.
AUCGGAUAAUCAUUAGAAUGUAUUUUCUUGAGGAAAACAAGCUGUUACUUUACGUUCAUUCGUAAACGUUCGUGCAUCAUCGUUACGCACAUAAAUACGUGUUAUACCAUUGAGUAAUAUCGUUUAAUAUGUCGACAGAAGACUUAUUUACAUUGUCAUUGUUUAGUAGAUACAACUAAAUGAAAUAUUAAGAUACUUAUUUGCUUGUCAGUGUCGAAGGAUUCAAUGGAAAAAUUGUAAUACCAGAGUGUACUAAGAAAAGCAAAUUACAAAGAAAUUACUCUUGCACAAUCGACCGAGUAUAUUACGGGCACUUGUCAUCGCAUUACAUAUUGUCAGUUUAUUCGUGGCAGUGACAUUGGCCAGUGAUAUGGCUACAUUUAUUCGCGUGUACUAACAUUGCUUUCACGCACGUGUAGCAAAAUGAAGGAUGACCAUCGACCAUCGAUAUCAAAUAUGACAUUGUUAAUGCGAUCUAUAUAAAUAAACGGUUUAAAAGAAAAAAAAAGUUAUCCCCUAUGCUACCAUGUUUCAUUAAUAAUAAUAUUUAGAUGUCUGAUGUAAUGGAUACGUUUGUGCGCAAAUACAGAGCGCUGAGAAUUUAAGCACUAAAAAUUCAUUUGAGCUAUAGAUCGUGUAUAUAGCAAAUACAAACGUGCGUGAAUGCUAUAAGUAGUUGCAGCCGGAUCGUAUUGCAAAUCCACGUAGCGCGAAUGUUACAACAAACCGGUUAGGAUCAAGUUUCACAAGUUUGCAAAGAAAUGGUUGAAAAUUCGGCGUUAUAAUAUUUAUCCUUCCCGAUAUGGUAAACUCGUCUGGCGCUAUUAUAGUCGUUUUAUUUACAAUUUCCCUUGAAAUUUUCUUCCAACUGUAAUGGUACAUUAGACGUAAUAUUAUAAUAUACGGUGUGUCACGUCACACGUGCCGAUGGUAUACACGUGCUACUGAAUUAUCGUGGAGAUUGAAAUUGAGGGGACAAUCUGGUCGAAGGCUUGGCAAUUUUACUGAAUAUGGACACUAUGAUAUCAGAGAGUGACAUCAUGGCGCGUUAACCUCAGUCCCCAUUUGUACUCAAGUCGGUAGUGGCGAUGCGAAGUCGUCGUACGACGACACCAAUCAAGUCAGCCUCCUCAUUCAAUCGUUCUAAGUAAGCCAAGUACAAACGACUAUUAAGCGCUCAUUGCCUGUUUGCUACCGAAGUAUUGAAUGAAAUUAUCUUUUACCAUGCCGGUUGUGUUAUCGACACCUACUGUCCACUCUAACAAAUUAUUUGUAACGUAACCGCGCGAGCGUCUGGAACAAAGAACGGUUCUCUCUUUGUUUGCUCGUGUAACAUUAAUUAACAUUAAUUAACGUAAUGGAACUUUAGUUUACCCUUGUUGUCCUAAAAACUAGGAAAUUAACGAGACAAACUAUUUUCUAGAUGCGUUUAUGCAAAAUUUAUCGCUUCUCAAAAGUUUUUCGAUCAAUUUUUAAAACUUUUGCUUUCCGUUGGCUUCCGUUCUGCGGUUGUUUACGAUAUCGGAGGAAAUUGGCACGGUGAAAGGUGAGGAAAAUUCGCGCGGUACCCUCGACAUUGAAUGGUGGAAGAAUGACGGUCGAAAGGGUCGAACGAUUAAAGAAUUCCUUGGAUCGAAUCUGGCCUCGGAUAUGGCUCUCUGUCGGACUUUGUCAGCUAUUAAUAGUCAGCGAUGUCGAAGAGGUGUAUGUAUAGUAUGUACUAUCUUUUCUACAACCUCCGUUUAGUUGUUUUCUUCUGCAUGCCACGCUACAUAUAAUUGCCUGGCAAGUUGUUUUGCUUCUGUCUCCUUGUCUGGCGUAACAAUGUAAUUAUU